Camellia sinensis is the source of this 678-nucleotide non-coding RNA. NCBI's taxonomy places the organism in Eukaryota, Viridiplantae, Streptophyta, Magnoliopsida, Ericales, Theaceae. The record is from RefSeq and is a predicted model, not a curated record.
ACUUUAACCCCAAAGGUUGUAAAUGACAUUCAUAAACGUGGUGGUACAAUUAUUGGAACGUCACGAGAAGGGCAUGAUACCUCAAAGAUGUUGAUAGCAUUCAAGACCGUGGGAUUAACCAGGUUUAUAUAAUCGGAGGGGAUGGAAUUCUAAAAGGAGUUGCUGCAAUCUUUCAGAUGGUUUUGGACGUACAAAUGUGGAUAUGACUUUUUCUGACACGUACGGAAGGGCAUUGUUUUUAUACCUCUGUCCGUAUAUAUCGUGGUUCGUUCAGUAAUAAUUGAUUUGCGUGGUAAAUAUCUCAAAUAUGGCAUGGUAGAAAUUAGCAUUUGAUGUGGUAUAAAUUAGUUUUUGGGGCAGUACAUAUUAGUUUUUUGGUGUGGUACAGUUUUUCUCUAUUAUGUAUAUUUUUAAAUUAUUGAGGUUGGAAUAUACUUGGGUCGUAUGGAAUUUGUAUUACAUAUGUCGAAUGGAAUGGAAUGGAAUUGGAUGUCGAAUGGAAUUUUUUGCGUUCACGUUGUCGAAUGGUUGAUAAUAUAUAUUUAGUAUUGAUGGAUUUUAUUGUUUAUACAUUGUAUAGGUUGUACUAAUAAUGGAUACAUGUGGUUCAGAAAUUUAAAAAAAAAAAAAAAUUAUUUGUAAUAUAGUAUUUGGCUACUAACUAUUUUGGUAGCCAAA